AACGCACAUUGCGCCCUUUGGCAUCCCGAAGGGCAUGCCUGUUCGAGCGUCAUUUCACCAAUCAAGCCUGGCUUGGUGUUGGGUGCCGUCCCGCCCCCCGUGCGCGGACGCUCCCUAAAAUCAUCGGCGGUGCAGCACCGGCUUCGAGCGCAGCAGAUGUUCGCUCUGUGGGCCCGGUGUGGCAGCGGCCGCGACGACAACCUCUAGGUUGACCUCGGAUCAGGUAGGGAUACCCGCUGAACUUAA
RNAcentral lists this unclassified non-coding RNA (246 nucleotides) under uncultured fungus. Its description in RNAcentral is "partial contains 5.8S ribosomal RNA, internal transcribed spacer 2, and large subunit ribosomal RNA". The record is from RNAcentral. Lineage: Eukaryota; Fungi.